GCAUUAAUGGGGUAGUGGUAACCUGGGUCGUUGCCAUUUCAGGCUUGCUGUUUCUGGGUAGUUUUCUCGACCCGCCGGGGGUUCGAUUCCCCCCUUAAUGCA
RNAcentral lists this transfer RNA (102 nucleotides) under Armillaria gallica. RNAcentral's name for it is "tRNA-Gly". It matches the Rfam family "tRNA". From Rfam's summary of the family: Transfer RNA (tRNA) molecules are approximately 80 nucleotides in length. Their secondary structure includes four short double-helical elements and three loops (D, anti-codon, and T loops). Lineage: Eukaryota; Fungi; Basidiomycota; Agaricomycetes; Agaricales; Physalacriaceae. The record is from RNAcentral.